This is a non-coding RNA of Misgurnus anguillicaudatus (oriental weatherfish), 1077 nucleotides long. The record is from RefSeq and is a predicted model, not a curated record. Lineage: Eukaryota; Metazoa; Chordata; Actinopteri; Cypriniformes; Cobitidae.
UCAUAAGCGGUUAAAUCAUCGCAGCGGAAGUUAAUACCAAGAGCAUCUACACCUACGUAAACAGUCAGCGGUACUGGGAAACAUGGCAGCAGAUAUUUCUAGCCAGUUGGACCAUAUUGCAGAUGCCCUGGGUAUAUUGGCAGCUGAAAUUUUAAGACCUGAAGCUGAGAUUGAUCGAGUUGUCAUCAGCUUGGAGAACAUAUAGUGCCUUGACAAUUUUAGCUGCUAUUGCAGAAUUACCUAAUGAAGAGCAUGUUUUUCAUUUAUUGCAAAUGAUAAUUCAGAUGGUGGACCAAUGCAGAUUCAGCACUGUGAUGUCAAGGGAGCAGCUGCUAUUUCUUCUAGAAAACAACUUUAGAGUUGGUGACAUAGCACAAAUUUUUUGUGUUAGCAAGAGAACUGUUCAUAGGAGAAUGUCGGAAUAUGGACUGUCUGUGCGACAGACUUAUUCAGACAUCACAGAUGAAGACCUCCAGCAUGUAAUCUCUGACUUUAUUGCUCAUUACCCAAACGCAGGUAUAAGGACUGUGACUGGACAUCUUAAUUCUCAAGGAAUAAGAGUUCAGCAGUUCCGGGUGCGGCUUCAUCUAAAAGAAGUUGAUCCUGUUGGAAAUUUUAUUCGCGGGCUUCAACUUAACAUUGUCCCAAGAGUGCCAUACUCUGUUCCGGGUCCUCUCUCCCUGUGGCACAUAGAUGGUAACCAUAAACUGAUAAGGUUAGAAUUUUAUUUAUUCUGUUUAUUAACAAAAAGUUAUUUAUUUAUUUUCUUUGUAGCUUUAGAGAAUUACUCAGAUAACAAUGAAAAUACUUGUUAAAUCUUCAACAUCAUCUAAUCACUUGUGUACAUCAAAAGAAACCAUAUAAUAGAUUCUAUUGGAUUUAGUAAUGGGAAUUUUAUUGGUUGUAUUGGAAACUAUAAUGGUCUCUGUUGGUCUCCAUUGGUAUUUGUUGGGUUCUAUUGGUGGGGCCAUUAAAUCCUAAAGGAAUUCUGUAGUGCUUGUAUUGUAAUGGUAAAAGCUUAAGGUUCCUAUUGGUAUUUUAAUGGAAACCAUUAGAAUUUCUGUAAUGGUUUUAUUG